CUUGAUUAAAUAUAAGAGGUCCAGCCUGCCCAGUGACCUAGUUCAACGGCCGCGGUAUCCUAACCGUGCGAAGGUAGCGUAAUCACUUGUUCUUUAAAUGGGGACUAGUAUGAAUGGCAUCACGAGGGUUAAACUGUCUCCUCUCUCUAAUCAGUGAAACUAAUCUCCCCGUGAAGAAGCGGGAAUAAUUUUAUAAGACGAGAAGACCCUGUGGAGCUUAAAACAAAUUAACACCUGCCUCUACCUAUUUUAUUCCUGAAUAAACACAUAAAUAUAGCACCGCUGAUUAAUAGUUUUAGACUGGGGUGAUCUUGGAGCAAAAAACAACCUCCACGACGAUAAAGGAGUAUUCCCUGAGCCAAAAGCCACAACUUUAAGCACUAAAAAAUUAACGUACCUUGACCCAAUUUUUUGAUCAACGAACCAAGUUACCCUAGGGAUAACAGCGCAAUCCACUUCAAGAGCCCCUAUCGACAAGUGGGCUUACGACCUCGAUGUUGGAUCA
This 505-nucleotide ribosomal RNA is filed under the name Boana aff. maculateralis MTR28127. RNAcentral's name for it is "partial large subunit ribosomal RNA". It matches the Rfam family "Bacterial large subunit ribosomal RNA", at positions 1834 to 2539 of the family's 2925-position model. RNAcentral also lists the same sequence under 3 other names. Lineage: Eukaryota; Metazoa; Chordata; Amphibia; Anura; Hylidae. The record is from RNAcentral.